GGACGACGUUGGCGGCGUGCUUAAUACAUGCAAGUCAACUGAAGCACCGGUAGUAAUACUGGUGUGGAGGUGGCGCACGGGUGAGUACACGUAGGUAAUCUGCCUUCAGGUCUGACAUAACCCCGAGAAAUCGGGGCUAAUAGCAGAUGAUGCAGCGGCUUGACAUCAAGACAGUUGUUAAAGCUUCGGCGCCUGAAGAUGAGCCUGCGUCUGAUUAGCUAGUUGGCGGAGUAAUGGCCCACCAAGGCUACGAUCAGUAACUGGUCUGAGAGGAUGAUCAGUCACACUGGAACUGAGACACGGUCCAGACUCCUACGGGAGGCAGCAGUUAAGGAAUAUUGCUCAAUGGGAGAAAUCCUGAAGCAGCAACGCCGCGUGAGGGAUGAAGGGCUUUUGCUCGUAAACCUCUGUAGUGAGGGAAAAAAUUUCCACUCUGUGGAAUAUGAUGGUACCUCAAAAGUAAGCCCCGGCUAACUACGUG
This 481-nucleotide ribosomal RNA is filed under the name uncultured bacterium. Its description in RNAcentral is "bacterial SSU rRNA". It matches the Rfam family "Bacterial small subunit ribosomal RNA", at positions 32 to 507 of the family's 1533-position model. The record is from RNAcentral.